UGGGGAAUAUUGGACAAUGGGGGCAACCCUGAUCCAGCCAUGCCGCGUGAGUGAUGAAGGCCCUAGGGUUGUAAAGCUCUUUCAACGGUGAAGAUGAUGACGGUACCCGGAGAAGAAGCACCGCCUAACUCCGUGCCAGCAGCCGCGGUAAGACGGAGGGUGCUAGCGUUGUUCGGAAUCACUGGGCGUAAAGGGCGCGUAGGCGGCUUGGACAGUCAGAUGUGAAAGCCCGGGGCUCAACCCCGGAACGGCAUUUGAUACUGCCAGGCUGGAGGUCGGAAGAGGAGGGUGGAAUAUCCAGUGUAGAGGUGAAAUUCGUAGAUAUUGGAUGGAACACCGGUGGCGAAAGCGGCUCUCUGGUCCGAACCUGACGCUGAGGCGCGAAAGCGUGAGGAGCAAACAGGAUUAGAUACCCCCGUAGUCC
Molecule: ribosomal RNA, 424 nt
Filed under: uncultured prokaryote
Description: bacterial SSU rRNA
Rfam family: Bacterial small subunit ribosomal RNA
Source: RNAcentral